Molecule: long non-coding RNA, 1207 nt
Organism: Enhydra lutris kenyoni (northern sea otter)
Lineage: Eukaryota; Metazoa; Chordata; Mammalia; Carnivora; Mustelidae
Exons: 4
Source: RefSeq, a predicted model, not a curated record
AACCCUGAUAUAGAAAGGAAUAAAGAGAUGCAUUAAGACGGGAAUACUUUAACUCAGGAAAAGGACAAUGCAGGCAGAGGCAACAGUAACCAAAGUCUUUAAUGGCAAGUGGCAAGAUUCAGCUACUAAAGAAACAGCAAGCCCUUGUUAGAGUCUGACAGUUUAUUACUUACAGAGAGAGCAAAGGAAAGGCAAAUUGCCAUAAGUCUUGUCCCAAGGGAAGACACAAAAAGAAGGCAGGAUAGAUAAAAGAUACGAUAAUGCGACAUAAGGAGUGGGGCACCCUGGUGCUGAGCUGCUGAUUCCCUAUUGCAGCUAAGCAACUCUGGCCUGCAGCCACUCCCUAAAGGGACGCACAGUGGAGUCUCAUAAUUCAUCAAAAUCCAGAGGCAAUGACAAACUGUCUCACAUCCUCCUUGAAAGAUAGGGAGACAAACAUGAAGCGGCCCAUGGCAGCUACUGCAUGCCCCAUACCCUUGAGUUCCAGGAAGAUCACAGGGCACUCAUUCUAAAGCUCAGGUCGGCCCUGAACCACACCUGGCUAAGGUGGAUAAAAAACAAGGUCAUCAGGUGUCAGCAGAGCUGUUCCACCGUAGAAACCAGCUUGGCAAUUCUAGGAAUGGACAAAGUUCUGUGAUCUGAAGUGCAGUACACGGGCAAGUGGAAACCAGCUGAGGUUGGAGAAGCAGUCAGGAAUCAAAUCAUUUCAGGCUUCUUUGCCAAGGUAGGGAACGUGAAUUUUACUUGAAGUGUGACAGAUAUCAAGGAAAGAAAGUUGGUGUGAUGUUCAAGAGGAAGAUUAGUGAAACACUAUUACUAAAAGCCAAUUUUGCUACCAUCAUUGCUCAAGAAGUAUCCAUAGGACCCUUUCAGCAAACAUGCUGCUGUAGAAGCCCCAGAAUGUGAGAUCAGGGGAUCCAAGACACACUCCCUGACUCUGAAAGAAACACUGUGACACAGCUGAAGAAUGCUGGAUAGGCGUUUCUGUGCUGGCUAGCUCAAUCACCAUGAAGAAGUUCACUUCUUAGAAAUGAUGAAGAGAAACUGCCAACUACUUCAGGGUUUCUAGUGUUACUACUAUAGUGUAAGUGGCUGACACCAAGCUUCUGAUGGUCUAGACAUCCAUAUCAAAGACACCCUUCUCAAAUAAAAAUACUGCCAGCUAUAUAACACACUACCAGCAAAACUAGAUAAGAAACCAGGCCAC